AAAGUUGGAAAUUUCGGAUUUUUCGUCGGAUUCGUCGUCAAUUUUUUCGAAGGCGAUUUCUCGGUGGUACUAUUUCUGGACGUUCUUGAUCGAAUUUUCUUCAUCGUCGGUAAAGGCAAGUGAAUGUAUUGUAUGACUAUGCUUUAACCUAAUAUUGGGUUGCCUACAUUCUUUAAUUACAGUGCAUUCAUCUAAUCUGAAUGACUGAUUCUGAGCUGGGUACUAUGUUGUUUACUUUUCCAGAAGUUUACUCGAUGAUUGAUUUAUGAAGUGCAGUAAGUACGAUAUGCCAUUCUGCAGUUGUUCAUUAUUAUUUUAUGCAAUGUUUUUUUAAGUCUCAAGCAUUUUUCGGGAGUUAUGUUGGAUAUGCUUGAAGCACGUCAUACAUAUACAUCUCAUGUAUUGGAAGUUUGUCGUCGUCUUCUGGCCGCGACCGUACCGGUACAGUACCGUAUGUCACCCGAGGAGGGAUACGGUGCACACCCUUACGUUACCCGAGGAGGGGUAAGGGUGAGGAGAGCAUAUCAUGUGCAUGGUUAUGUCUUCUUAUGAAAUUCAAUGAAUCAUUCGCAUCAAAUCUGAUUUCCUUUAGUUAGCUUGUAUAUAGAUAUAUAUGCGGCUCUGAAGGAUUAUACCAACCGAAUGUUAAAAUGUUUAAUGUUAUCGUUAGACUUGCUUAGUCAUAAUUAUUUCUCCUAGUGUUGGCGGUCUGUUUCAUUACUAGUUUCUAUUUAGAAUUGUUAGCACAUUCAACUGUGGCUAAAUAGCUUUUUGUUAAAGUACCUUUCACUUGCUGAGAUUUUCGAAUCUCACCCGUGCUUUCUUUACAGGUAUGUUUAGAUAUUGACGUGCAUUUUGGGGAUGGAUCUUGGUAGCUGCACACACUACCUCAUCACCAUGUUGAUAGCUCAACCGGUGUUAUAAAUGGUGUUUUUGGUGGUCUGUCGUUUGCUUGGUUCAUGUUGUGGCAGACGCUGGUAGCGUCAUAACGGUUUCUAUAUAUGCUGGUUAUAUCUGA
Phragmites australis (common reed) is the source of this 1018-nucleotide long non-coding RNA. RefSeq lists it as uncharacterized. The transcript has 2 exons. NCBI's taxonomy places the organism in Eukaryota, Viridiplantae, Streptophyta, Magnoliopsida, Poales, Poaceae. The record is from RefSeq and is a predicted model, not a curated record.